CAUGUGAUAGUCAAUGACAAAUCAGAAAUAACUAACUGCCCACCUGGGCUGUCCUAAGCCAAGCUAGAGCCACCAUUGGCACUUGUGAGGCACAGGAAAUGAGGUAGGGAAUUUGCGCACUUCCUGUGGAGAGAGCUAGAUGGCAGUUCGUGUUCGAAGCUUAAAGAGUGAGGAGGCCCGCAGACAGCUUCCCUUCAGAUCGGAGUCAUCAACAACAUGCAGUGGCAUGACAAAAGUGAAGGUAUUUGGCAAUGGCCUGGGAUGCAAUGGAUGACUCCACAGUGCCUGCUUCAACCACCUUCAUGAUUGUUCUCAUCUGCCCCUUUUUCCAGGGUUUUCUUAGCAAAGAUAAUGGAAAGAUUUGCCAUUUUCUUAUCCAGCUCAUCUUACAAAUCAGGAACUGAGGCAAAGAGAGGAGGAAGCCUUGCAUGCCAAGAAGAGGAGAAUAGGAUCUUUUUUGAUACUUGAGAGGACAUCUACAUAAUUUUCAAAACAUAAAGAUCAAUUAUAAUUGACCUACACAACAAGUCAAUGUGAUAUUUGUCAAAUAUAUUUUGGAAGCAGGGGACAGACUUGGCUUUAGGCAAUGCUAUACAGAACUGUAAAGGACCUUAGAGAUCCUACCUAGUCUAACCUUCUCAUUGAAGAGUUGAGAAAAUAAGGGUUAUAAAAUUUAAGUGAACUAUCCAAAGUCACACAAAAUAGCAGAGCAAAAUUAAACCUAGAUUCUCUAGGUGACUCACAAUAUCUGGUAUGGAAACUCCAUUGGUGGAGAAGAGAAACUCUUCUUUAAUUUACUGUCUUAGAGAGUUGUCUGGGCAACUGAGUUUUGUGUACAUGGUGUGAAGAUGUAAGGGAGCUAUGCCCUAGAACUAGACUUAGUGUAUUCUCAUCAAGACAUUUUAAUGUGAAACUGACAGACAUUCACUAUAUUCCUGUCUAUACUUUGCUACAGUCAAUGAAAGCUUUAGCAGAAUCAUGAAUAUAUAAUGCUUUCAAUUAGGAAAAAAUAGCAUUGGCUUGAAAAAUAUAUAUGUACCUCAAUCUUAGCCAUGAAAAUGCUUAGUUGGCAAACAUUUGCGUUUCCUAGUUGGAAAGUGAUAUUAACGAAAUGCCGAGACAGCUGCUUACAGUAAGCACAUUUUCACCAAUCCCAAAUGAGACAUGUUCUUCCACAUCCAAACAUCCCCAGUCACAUUGUGUCACUUGACUUAGUGCAACAUAAUUUGGUGUGACUAAUAUAGCCUGAUGGGACAGCAGAAUGGGAAAAAAAAAUCACCCAGGAAAUGUUAGAAAAAAGGAUAGUAUUUUCUGAAAACAUCAAUUAAAUAAAUCUAAAUUAUAAAGGCUGUUAUUCA
RNAcentral lists this long non-coding RNA (1358 nucleotides) under Monodelphis domestica (gray short-tailed opossum). RNAcentral describes it as "lncRNA (ENSMODG00000031498.2)". The record is from RNAcentral. Lineage: Eukaryota; Metazoa; Chordata; Mammalia; Didelphimorphia; Didelphidae.